This 479-nucleotide ribosomal RNA is filed under the name uncultured bacterium. Its description in RNAcentral is "partial 16S ribosomal RNA". It matches the Rfam family "Bacterial small subunit ribosomal RNA", at positions 28 to 507 of the family's 1533-position model. The record is from RNAcentral.
GAUGAACGCUGGCGGCGUGCUUAACACAUGCAAGUCGAACGAAGCACCUUGAUUCGAUUCUUCGGAUGAAGAUCUUGGUGACUGAGUGGCGGACGGGUGAGUAACGCGUGGGUAACCUGCCUCAUACAGGGGGAUAACAGUUAGAAAUGACUGCUAAUACCGCAUACGACCACAGCACCGCAUGGUGCAGGGGUAAAAACUCCGGUGGUAUGAGAUGGACCCGCGUCUGAUUAGGUAGUUGGUGGGGUAACGGCCUACCAAGCCGACGAUCAGUAGCCGACCUGAGAGGGUGACCGGCCACAUUGGGACUGAGACACGGCCCAAACUCCUACGGGAGGCAGCAGUGGGGAAUAUUGCACAAUGGGGGAAACCCUGAUGCAGCGACGCCGCGUGAGCGAUGAAGUAUUUCGGUAUGUAAAGCUCUAUCAGCAGGGAAGAAAAUGACGGUACCUGACGAAGAAGCACCGGCUAAAUACGUG